UACAACUUUCAGCACAGGAUGUGUAGGCUCCCACAACGAUGAAGAGCGCAGCGAAAUGCGAUACGUAAUGUGAAUUGCAAAACCUCGUGAAUCUUCUCAAUUUUGAACGCACACUUGUGCGCUUCUGGGAAAAAUCUGGUAGACAUAUUUAUCUG
RNAcentral lists this ribosomal RNA (155 nucleotides) under Thalassionema nitzschioides. RNAcentral's name for it is "partial 5.8S ribosomal RNA". It matches the Rfam family "5.8S ribosomal RNA". From Rfam's summary of the family: 5.8S ribosomal RNA (5.8S rRNA) is a component of the large subunit of the eukaryotic ribosome. It is transcribed by RNA polymerase I as part of the 45S precursor that also contains 18S and 28S rRNA. The record is from RNAcentral. Lineage: Eukaryota; Bacillariophyta; Fragilariophyceae; Thalassionematales; Thalassionemataceae.